UACGGCUACAUCACAUUGAAAUAUCCGUUCCCGUACGUCCACCGAAGUUAAGCAACGUCAAGCCUGGUCAGUACCUAGUUGGGUGACAGCUUGGGAAUAACAGGUGCUGUAAG
This is a non-coding RNA of Acanthosepion pharaonis, 113 nucleotides long. The record is from the annotation of a GenBank genome assembly. Lineage: Eukaryota; Metazoa; Mollusca; Cephalopoda; Sepiida; Sepiidae.